GGGGUUUCUGGUAUAUUGGCAUCUGGGAUGUGAGGGUUACAGCCUUGGCUCGACAUUUAUCUGGUUUGGCAGCUUAGUCAUCAAAGCCACGGAGAAGCGAGGACUUGGAUGAUCCUGGAGCUCCGCCGCAUCAACCAGCCCAUUACGGCCCUGCUGGCUGGACUCUUUUACAAGAUACUCUUUUUUCAAUUGUAAAGACAAGCAAAUAUUGCUCACACUUUCUUGUUGUCUAAACAUCACUCAGUCCUUGGCUGUUUAAUCUUAGGCUAUAACUUUAAUUUCAGUUUUGUUUAGGUGGUGCACUCUGUAUACUAACUUCUUUAUGCUAAUUUGUGUUUUCAAUAUGGCUAAUUCUAUCUAAUCGGAUCAUUUUCUUAUGACAACACAAUUGAAGUAUGGUCAUGGCUCUAGCUGGGAAUAAAGCAGAUCUGGUAGAGUGAAGGAAAGUGGCAUCAGAGUUGAUUAAAUUGAAAGGACAUAUACAAAAAGCUGGAUAAACUUCCAGGCUGAAGAUGAUAAAAGACUUUGUAGGCACAAGCAAACACACUAAAGUAAUUGGUACGUGAAGUAGAACGAGGAAGAUCCUUGUAAAAGUUUGAACCCUAUGUAGUAGAGAAAGAUAACUACCUUG
RNAcentral lists this long non-coding RNA (631 nucleotides) under Rosa chinensis. Its description in RNAcentral is "sRNA RchiOBHm_Chr1g0336131". Lineage: Eukaryota; Viridiplantae; Streptophyta; Magnoliopsida; Rosales; Rosaceae. The record is from RNAcentral.